Onthophagus taurus is the source of this 1297-nucleotide non-coding RNA. The record is from RefSeq and is a predicted model, not a curated record. NCBI's taxonomy places the organism in Eukaryota, Metazoa, Arthropoda, Insecta, Coleoptera, Scarabaeidae.
UUUGACCUUGAAAAUUAAAGUAAUGCAGAAAAGUGAAACUACUUCUAAAAGACUUUUGUAUUAAUGGCUAAGAUAAAGUAUUAAGAGAGGAUAUUAACAAAUUAAAAGAAUUUAACAUAAAUAAUUACGUUUAAUAAUAUUUUUGCGGGUUGGUACCACCGAAAUAGUUUCUUAAGUAACCUGUCAAAAUAACGUUAAUAUAUAAAAUGAAAUAAAAGUGCCGUAUUUUCACCUAAUUCGUAGAAACAAAACUAAUUAAAACUGUUUUUGGUUUUUCCUUUACAUUUCACGUUUAAUAAAACCAUAACAAGUAAAGGGCCAAGAUUUAGUGUAAAUCCGAAAUUAUUUUUGUAAGGUUAGGUUUGAAGAGCUUUUUGAGUCAAAAUUAUAAAAGAAGUUAAACAAGCUUUACGACUCUAAAAAAAUCGCUAAAUUGUGGGUAAGUUUAAUAAGUUUUUUGAUAAUUUGCAAUAAUUAAAAUAAGCUAAAAUAUUUUUUUAGUGGCGAAUUAUCAUUCACUCUCAAUAGAGGGCGGUGUUGGAGAUUUAAUGUAGAUAGUGACAUUUUUUACUUCUGUCAACGUUUACCGGUCAAUGAAUCUAGUAAAGCAAACUUUUCGAUCCUGCGACUAGUAAAGAAAUAUUAACAAAGUAAUCUCCAAAGAAAUUUAAAAUAAUUUAAAAACAAGUUUGAUUCCUUUUUUUCGUGCGUACUGUUAUUUAUGGUACACAUCUGCGACGAGAAGAUAGAGGGACUUUGACGUCGCGACGUUGCAUACGAAACAACUUUCCGAGGGAUAAGAAAGAAGGGGAUGAGGAACGCGAAGAUGAAACGCUUGGAAUUAGAUGAAAAACGAGGGAGAGACUUGGAUGGUCGGAAAAAUAGCUGAUAAGAUUCUAAUCUAAGUGCAUUUUUCAAGAUGUCACUCUCUUUCGCUUUUAGACGCGAAAAAAAAUUUAAAAGAAUUAAUUUUUUUUUAAAUGUUUAUGAUUAUUAUAAGUGACACGUGCUUAUAACCCUUCUUUCGUUCCCCGAUUUCUCGGCGUAAUCUCGCUACAUUGUCCGAGUCGUUGAGAACGCGGUGUAUCUCGGCCUUCACAGCGGAACGUCUGGCGUUAUUGACCCAUUUCGCGUCGUUAUGGCGGCGCGGAUCGGGGCCCCGUUGUGAAUAUUAAGGCCGGAAGGAACCCGCCGUCGACUGCCUUUUCGUAGAUUAAAACGACGCGAACAAAAAAAAAAUAUUUUAAAACUUUUUUUGUACCCUUUUCUAUAGAAAAAUAAAAUGAAAUGAAAAUAA